This 441-nucleotide ribosomal RNA is filed under the name uncultured bacterium. RNAcentral describes it as "bacterial SSU rRNA". It matches the Rfam family "Bacterial small subunit ribosomal RNA", at positions 958 to 1399 of the family's 1533-position model. The record is from RNAcentral.
AACGCGAAGAACCUUACCUGGUCUUGACAUCUACGGAGCCCUGCAGAGAUGCGGGGGUGCCUUCGGGAACCGUAAGACAGGUGCUGCAUGGCUGUCGUCAGCUCGUGUCGUGAGAUGUUGGGUUAAGUCCCGCAACGAGCGCAACCCUUGUCCUUAGUUGCCAGCAUUCAGUUGGGAACUCUAAGGAGACCGCCGGUGACAAACCGGAGGAAGGUGGGGAUGACGUCAAGUCAUCAUGGCCUUUAUGACCAGGGCUACACACGUGCUACAAUGGUAGAUACAGAGGGAAGCCAACGCGCGAGCGGGAGCCAAUCCCAGAAAAUCUAUCGUAGUCCGGAUCGGAGUCUGCAACUCGACUCCGUGAAGUCGGAAUCGCUAGUAAUCGCAGAUCAGCAUUGCUGCGGUGAAUACGUUCCCGGGCCUUGUACACACCGACUGUAC